This 147-nucleotide small nuclear RNA is filed under the name Melitaea cinxia (Glanville fritillary). RNAcentral describes it as "misc RNA ENSMCXG00005023189.1". It matches the Rfam family "U12 minor spliceosomal RNA". From Rfam's summary of the family: Although the U12 sequence is very divergent from that of U2, the two are functionally analogous. The record is from RNAcentral. Lineage: Eukaryota; Metazoa; Arthropoda; Insecta; Lepidoptera; Nymphalidae.
GUGCCUCAAUCUAUUGAGUAAGGAAAUUAUUGGGCCUUGGUAACUCUCGGCUAUGCCCACUGGGCGACCUAAUUUUUGAAGGGUACAGGUCGUCCCUUUGAGCCGUGCGCCUACUUUGCACGCGGCUUGGGUGAAGCGAUCUGCCCU